RNAcentral lists this ribosomal RNA (1169 nucleotides) under Epipenaeon fissurae. RNAcentral's name for it is "16S ribosomal RNA". The stretch from base 734 to 1085 matches the Rfam family "Archaeal large subunit ribosomal RNA", at positions 2149 to 2717 of the family's 2987-position model. The record is from RNAcentral. Lineage: Eukaryota; Metazoa; Arthropoda; Malacostraca; Isopoda; Bopyridae.
GAUAAAAUAACCAAAUGAGAUCUAAGAAUAUUCCAGUAAAAAAGAAAACAAUAAUAAUAAUAAGUACUGUAAAGGAAAGUCUAAAUCAAGAAAAAGUCAGACCUACCUUUGGUAUCAGGGGUUUUCAAAAUAUAAGAUAGUAUCUCCUCCCGAAAUCAGGCGAGCUACACUAAACAAAGUUUACAUGUUACAGUAAUUUAUAAUCUUAGUAUAGAAGGGACAUCCUAAACAAGCCUGUUAUACCUGGUUGUGUUCUAGAUUAAUUUAAUUAAACCUUUCUUUCAAAACAAAGAAAAAUAAAAAACAGCAAAGAUAAUUAGCAGUUAUACCAAGAGAUUAAACAACAUAAACUAGAGGGGUAAAACCCGCCUCCCACAACUAUAAUUGUUCUCCGGUGAGACUAGAACUCUCCCCCAAACCUAUCCCAACUAUUAACAAUGAAAUCACGAGUAUUCUAAUAAACAACACUAUUAAUUUAAUAUAAUAUCUUUUAAUAAAAACGCUUCUUGAGAACUCGGCAAACAAAAUCUCCGCCUGUUUAACAAAAACCACUCCUCCAUCUUCUGGAGGUAUUGUCUGCCCGGUGAUUUAAACGGCCGCAGUAUCCUGACUGUGCUAAGGUAGCAUAAUCACUUGCCUCUUAAUUAGAGGCUGGAAUGAAAGAACGCACGAGAGAUUGUCUGUCCAAGGGACUCACGAUAAACUACCCUUCUUGUCAAAAGGCAAGAUAAACCUAGAAGGACGACAAGACCCUGUAAAACUUAACCCUCAUCAGAAAAAAAAAGGAAGAACUAAAAAUUUACAGCCUAGGGUUUAGCUGGGGCGGCAAGCUUACAAACAAAGCUAGAUCUAAACUUACUGAAAGAAACCAGAUAGCUGUUUUUACAAACAAAUAGCAAGUUACUUCAGGGAUAACAGCGCAAUGUAUCUUUACAGAUCUUAUUAAAAGAUGCGAUUGCGACCUCGAUGUUGAAUUGAAGAACCAGCACAUAGCAGCCUAUGUGCAAGGGAGUCUGUUCGACUUUUAAACCUUCACAUGAUUUGAGUUCAGACCGGCGUGAGCCAGGUUGGUUUCUAUCCUCUAGAUUUAAAUUCUAACAGGUUGUACGAAAGGACCUCUGUUAAGAGAACCUCUCCCCUCCUAAGAAUAAAUAGUAUUCUUAAAAAAU